Long non-coding RNA from Aethalodelphis obliquidens (Pacific white-sided dolphin), 2460 nucleotides. RefSeq lists it as uncharacterized. The record is from RefSeq and is a predicted model, not a curated record. Lineage: Eukaryota; Metazoa; Chordata; Mammalia; Artiodactyla; Delphinidae. The transcript has 2 exons.
UCACACGGCCACCUGGGCGACUUGGGCCCCAUCGCCUGGCCCAGUAUUCUUCCUCCUGCACGUGCCUGCCGGCAAGAUGGUCUCUGUCACUCCUUUCUGAGCAGCCAGCCUAGAGCAGGGGUUUUCAACUGCGGGCGAUUUUGCCCCCCAGGGACACUUGGCCGUGCGGUGACAUUUCUGGCUGUCGUAAUCGUGUGCGAUGGGCAGCAGGAGGGAUGCUACUGGCAUCCGGUGAACGGAUGUUGUGGACGCUGCUAAGCAUCCUGUGAGGUACAGGUCAAGUCGCCCACAGCCAGGAUUUAUCCGGCCCCAGAAUGUUGCCAGUUGUGAGGUUGAGACUCCCUGGCCCAGAGCAGCUCAGACCCCGGCUCACCCUAACCCCCUGGGCUGUGGGCUGUGGGCUGAGGAAGCAGGCAGAGCAGCCAACCCAGAACACGGGGGAGACCCAGGACCCAGGGGGAGGAGAUGAGGCCUCGGGGAUGGGUCCAGGUGGCCGGUGUUUAUUCAUUUCUUCUCCCAACAAAUCCGCAAGCCCUGCCGUGUGCCAGCUGCUGAGGUUACAGAGGUGAACUUGAGAGACACGGAUCGGACCUCGUAGAUAAAGCAUCAGUCUCCUGAGCAGUGAACAACAGCAGCAUUAGAAGCGAGGUGACUAGCUUAUAACAGGGCAGCAAUUAUAUACCCGUUAGCGCCAGGAGGACCUGCAGAAGUCAGGAAUCCACGGGAUCUCCAAAUCGUACCCACAGCAUGGCGGACUCCAAAAGCAUCUUUGGAGUCUGUGUAAACGGUGGCAGUUUCCCCUUUGCUCGUCUGUGUGCUCCAGGAAGAGCGAUGCGUUCAGCCGCGUGGGCUGGUCUCACAGUGGGCACGGAAUAUGCCUCACGUGGUUCACGUGGGGAGCCACAGCAUAACCGGUUAUUAUGUUUCGCUGGAAACUUCGUUUACAGGAGCCAUCACAAAAUCGAAGUAAGUCUGGGUUGUCUAAAGGGAUGUCUGAGAGAGCAUCUCGUGGCUCUGAGACCGUUCCUGUAGUUGCGAGGCACUCGUGUGGCAUGGAGUGGGGCUCUCCACCAUCAGGGAGGGGGGUAAAGGAGCCAGAUUUAGAGUAUUAAUGAUGGACGGUGAUGGGUAGAUUAAGAGCCUGCUCACAGGUGGUCUCUCGCCACGCAGAGAAGUGCUGCAUCCUGUGAACUUGUAACAUAGCAGACACAGCAUGGGAAACAGAGGUGGCUGGGGGAGCCUAUGGUUAGAGCACUGGCUUUGUAGUCAGCAUGGCCACGUACAUAAGGGGGGCGUACCUGGUGCCGUAGAGUCUAACUGACAUGAGAAAUACGCUGUAGGACUUAACUGAGGCAAAAGGCUGUCCCAGAAUGCCAGCAGUAAUCCCAUCAUUCCAUGGCCAGUGUAGAUGAAAAGGCUUAUCACGAUCAGGUAAGCCAAGAACCAGAGGUGUGGACAGAACUAAUGUAAGGCUUCGUAGGGGAGCAGAAUUUGCUCCCCGAAAAUACAUCUCUUUGGCAUAUUAUCUUGAGCUGGUUCUUUUCUAGGAAACAGCAGACACGGGAAACUGAAAACCUAGUAGGAGUUGCCCUUUUGCAAGAAACAUUGACGUCUGUAAGGGAAAUCUCCAUUUGUAACGGUGUCUCCCUCUCUGUCCCUGUAAGAGGAGGUUGACCAAAUCUCUGGAAACUCUUCUCCAUGGAGAGGGCCAGGGCUUAAAUCUGUGUCACAGCCGCCCUUGUUUACUGUGCUUUUCCUGGUCGCCUCCCCUGACUGGAUCUCCCACCCUCUACAUCCUCUUUUGUCUUUGGCUGAGGGUUUCAGGUGAGGGCUUCCAGGUUUUUCCGGGUUUCUCCCAUGGAUACAUUAUUAAACAUUUGUUUGAUUUUCUCCUGUUAACCUGUCUCAAGUCAACUUAAUUCUUAGACCAGCCAGAAGAACCUAGAAGGGUAGAAGGAAAACUUCUCCCCGACGGCUAUGCCAGUCCUUCUUACCGGUCUCCCUUGAGAGGUAAAUGCAGACAAGGUGUGCGUCAGGAGCAUGGGAUUGAAGAGGAAUCUGAGCGGAGCUCAGAUUAACCAAGCUGGGUCAGCAGGAGUCGCAGUGAAGGUAACAGCUGGGUUAGGGACCGCAGGGUGCCCGGGAAUUACAAGAGUUUAUGGCUCUUAGGGUUUGUGCAAAUGAAGAGAUUCGAUUCCCGUCUGGGCCUAAUUUACCUUCUUUCAUUACAAAUGUACCUACUUUCACUUGGAGUGUGACAAGGUGAGGAAGUAAAAGCAAGCACACCCAGCUCUAAGAGAGUCUAUCAUAGGGUUAAUUCCUCACUUUGUAUCUCUUUGCAGAGAAGGGACCUGUUUAGUUUUCUUCCACGUCAUGCAUACAGGCUCAGCACUCGGUAGCAAUCCAACUUCACUGGCAUGUGUGGCCUACGGACUAGUUGGGACAUCUGUUAAAGACUCA